Molecule: ribosomal RNA, 501 nt
Filed under: uncultured Glomeromycotina
Lineage: Eukaryota; Fungi; Glomeromycota
Description: partial small subunit ribosomal RNA
Rfam family: Eukaryotic small subunit ribosomal RNA
Source: RNAcentral
CCAAUAGCGUAUAUUAAAGUUGUUGCAGUUAAAAAGCUCGUAGUUGAAUUUCGGGGUUUAUCCGUUGGUCGGGCUUUUGGGUCUGUACUGGCGUGAUGGAUUCCUACCUUCUGAAUAACCAGCAUGUCAUUAAUUUGGUGCGUUGGGGAAGCAGGACUGUUACCUUGAAAAAAUUAGAGUGCUUAAAGCAGGCUAUUGCCUGAAUACAUUAGCAUGGAAUAAUGAAAUAGGACGCAUGGUUCUAUUUUGUUGGUUUCUAGGAUCACCGUAAUGAUUAAUAGGGAUAGUUGGGGGCAUUAGUAUUCAAUUGUCAGAGGUGAAAUUCUUGGAUUUAUUGAAGACUAACUUCUGCGAAAGCAUUUGCCAAGGAUGUUUUCAUUAAUCAAGAACGAAAGUUAGGGGAUCGAAGACGAUCAGAUACCGUCGUAGUCUUAACCAUAAACUAUGCCGACUAGGGAUCGGACGAUGUUAAUUUUUUAAUGACUCGUUCGGCGCCUUACG